Molecule: ribosomal RNA, 301 nt
Filed under: uncultured bacterium
Lineage: Bacteria
Description: partial 16S ribosomal RNA
Rfam family: Bacterial small subunit ribosomal RNA
Source: RNAcentral
CAGCCGCCGCGGUAAUACGUAGGUGGCAAGCGUUGUCCGGAAUUAUUGGGCGUAAAGGGCUCGCAGGCGGUUUCUUAAGUCUGAUGUGAAAGCCCCCGGCUCAACCGGGGAGGGUCAUUGGAAACUGGGAAACUUGAGUGCAGAAGAGGAGAGUGGAAUUCCACGUGUAGCGGUGAAGUGCGUAGAGAUGUGGAGGAACACCAGUGGCGAAGGCGACUCUCUGGUCUGUAACUGACGCUGAGGAGCGAAAGCGUGGGGAGCGAACAGGAUUAGAUACCCGCGUAGUCCCUGUCUCUUAUAA